CUGCCGGACCCCACUGCUAUCGGGAUAGGACUAAGACAUGCUAGUUGAGCGCUUCCAGCCAAUACGGGAGCGCAGCGCACAGCUCAGUAACACGUGGCUAAUCUGCCCUUGGGACCGGAACACCCCCGGGAAACUGGGGCUAAUUCUCGAUAGGUGAAGAACUCUGGAAUGAGUCUUUGCCAAAAAGACGUUUACGUUAUGCUCGUAGGCGUCGCCCAAGGAUGAGGCCGCGACCGAUCAGGUUGUUGGUGAGGUAAUGGCUCACCAAGCCUUUUACCGGUGCGGGCCGUGAGAGCGGGAGCCCGGAGAUGGGCACUGAAACAAGGGCCCAGGCCCUACGGGGCGCAGCAGUCGCGAAAACUUUGCAAUACACGAAAGUGUGACAGGGCUAUCCCGAGUGCCAUCCGCUGAGGAAGGCUUUUACCCAGUCUAGAACGCUGGGGGAAUAAGGAGAGGGCAAGUCUGGUGUCAGCCGCCGCGGUAAUACCAGCUCUCCGAGUGGUGUGGAUGUUUAUUGGGCCUAAAGCAUCCGUAGCUGGCUGAGUUAGUCCCUUGUUAAAUCCACCGAAUUAAUCGUUGGAUUGCGGGGGAUACUGCUCGGCUAGGGGACGAGAGAGGCAGACGGUAUUUCUGGGGUAGGGGUGAAAUCCUAUAAUCCCAGGAGGACCACCAGUGGCGAAAGCUGUCUGCUAGAACGCGCCCGACGGUGAGGGAUGAAAGCUGGGGGAGCGAACCGGAUUAGAUACCCGGGUAGUCCCAGCUGUAAACGAU
RNAcentral lists this ribosomal RNA (771 nucleotides) under uncultured archaeon. RNAcentral's name for it is "bacterial SSU rRNA". It matches the Rfam family "Archaeal small subunit ribosomal RNA", at positions 14 to 761 of the family's 1478-position model. The record is from RNAcentral.